This 2291-nucleotide long non-coding RNA is filed under the name Lathyrus oleraceus (garden pea). Its description in RNAcentral is "Pisum sativum (pea) long non-coding RNA (PSAT_LNC031385)". Lineage: Eukaryota; Viridiplantae; Streptophyta; Magnoliopsida; Fabales; Fabaceae. The record is from RNAcentral.
UGGAAACCAAAUAAAGCAAAAUAAAAUAAUAAUAAAAAAUGAAGGAAAGGGAUAGGAGAGUGUAUUGGGCGCAGAGCCCAUUUCCAGGCCCAACAUAGCCUUGUUGCAUGAACUCAAGGGGGGUAUGCUUAGUAGAAUGCGGGUGCAGCCAGCAACUAUUGGGCCCAAGGCAUGGAGCAAGCCCAAUAGCACAAUAAGGGGAACUGAAUCUAAGAGGCAAAGUUCCUCAUGUGCUCAAUUCCUUAACGUGUUCCACGCUCAGUCAAAAAUUUAACUCUCAAGUUCCCGCCAUCUGAAACAGUCUUCCUCCAUCGUGCUGAAGGCAGAGCCCUAAACUAUGAACAAAUUCUACCAUCCUCCUCCUCCCAGUGCCCUAAUACUAAAUCUAAUGUCAACUUUCUAAAAUUCCUCAUCAAUCAGACGAAUCGAAGCAAAGUGCAUCAGAACCCUAACCUACAAAACUUGAAAUUAAAUCUUCAUCGUUCGGAAUCAAAGCCCUAGGGAUGAAGGAUUUGAUUCCCCUAACCAAAACCUACAUCUUGGUAACUAGAAUGGAGCAAACGGCUAUGGAAAUCGGAAACUCACCGGCGGAGAAAACGCAACUGGAACCGGAAUUUCAGGUACCUCUUAUGAAUCUUUUUUCUCUUCGAAACUUCCUUUUCUUCAACCUUCUUCUUCUUCUGUAAUCUUCUUGCGUGAUUUGAGAGAUUAAUAUUUGAGUUUGCAUGUGUGUAUCAGAGAUGUGUAUGAAUGCGCGAGAGAGAGAGUUUGAGACUGAGAACGAAGGGAUGAAAAAAGUGAGAAUCUGAGUAUAUGAAUGAGUUUUCAGGUGAAGGAGGAAUAAUGAUGAAUGAGGAAGGUCAGUCUGAAUUUAUAGGGAGGAAUGAGUUAAUAGAAUGUUAACUCUAUCAAUUCAGUUUGUUGAAUUUUUUUCAAGUUGGUUAGUAGUUACGUAAUCGUGUUAGAAUAAAUUAGAAGUGAAAUGAGAGUUAGUUAGGAGAUUCAACUUCAGUUAGUUAUGUGAAAUGUUAGCUAGUUUUAAGUUCAGUUAGGUGUUAUGAUGAAGUUAGAUAUGCCAGUUAGAAUGUUAAACUGAGUUGGUUAUAAAUUUUAAAUGAGUUAUUAUUUGUGUUUGAGUCCAGUUAGUGCAAUGGUUGUUGUUAAGUGGAAUUAGUUGUUUAACUGAAUUUGAUGUGCAACUUGAUUAUGAAACAGUCCAACUACUCAAUGAUGGUGCAGGGUUUAUGUACUAUUGUUGCUAGUUUUUGGCUUAGGGAUAUGAAGUUAAAUGAACAUGCUUGGCCCUGUUUCUAGUGGUAAUCAAGUUUAAUGAAUGGUUACUUUGAUUUCUGCCAAUGUAUGAUUGUGAGCUAGCUUCCUGCUAAAUGAAUUGGUGAUGAUCCUGUUAAAACCUAUGUUAUGAAUGCAAUGUUGUUAGAAUUUUGUUAUACAAUUUGUCUUGUUAAUGCUUGUUGAUGCUUGUAUCAAAUGGAUUGGAAUUGUGAUGGAUGAUGAGUGAUAUGCAGCUUGUUAUGAGAGUUCUUUGUGUUAGGUCUGAAUGUGUGACUGUGCUUGAUUGUUAAUGAUUGUGAUGCUAGUUGACAUUGUUGUUUCUUUGAUGUGCAGCCUGCUCUUUUGAUGUAUGGUCUGUCUUGAGAUGUUUUACAAUCAUGUUAUGUUAAGUUAUAUUAAGAAUGCAUUGCCGUAAUGAUUGGUUAGGUUAUGAACUUGAAUGGAUGUUAUGUUAACAUGGUUAUGUGUUAUGUGAUGUGAAUGAUGAUUAUACUUUUCAACUUGGUAUGGAAAUGCUUUGGUUUUAUUUGGCAUGUUUGGCUUAAGUUAGGCAUAGCAUGUUGGUUUGGAAUUGACUCAUGUUAUUGUUAAGAAUGUUUAAAAAUGACACAUUGGUUUUUGGUCUUUGUUUUAUAGGAAAUGGAUGGACCAAUGCAAGGAUGACUUGUUUUUGAAGAAACAAAUGGAGAUUAGAGUUUAGGAAUGGGAAAAAAUAUGAAUUGACUUUGGUGAACUGGUUAACCAAAAGGUCAAUAGUUGACCAAAUGUCAACUUAUGCAAAAUGUAACUCAUUUUUUUUGUAAUUUUUCAAUGUAAUGUAUAUGGAAAAUGUAAAUAUGAUAUUGUAUGAAUGAAAUGCCCCCUUUUUAGUGAAAAAUAUUCUUAUGACUAAUGAAACAAGUUUGAAUUUCAAAUUACCACUUUUCCCUCCAAGUUCAAUUUGAUAUUACAUUGAAACAAAGAUCUGAAAUGCACUUUAAAACAUGCUUGAAUGAAUG